CUUUAUUUGUAGAAGUACUGUGCUAAAAUUGCGGAAACUAAAUCACAUCUUGGGUUUUGUAAUGAUGCUAGCAAAGUACAUACAAGAAGAACAGGAACUGCACUAGAGUGUAAAGACUAGGGUGAGCCUCUCUCUUAAUGCUCAGUGUCUUUGUCUUAAGGUAGGAUGCACUACAU
Mustela putorius furo (domestic ferret) is the source of this 176-nucleotide small nucleolar RNA. The record is from Ensembl. NCBI's taxonomy places the organism in Eukaryota, Metazoa, Chordata, Mammalia, Carnivora, Mustelidae.